Thamnophis elegans (Western terrestrial garter snake) is the source of this 5642-nucleotide long non-coding RNA. RefSeq lists it as uncharacterized. The transcript is spliced from 5 exons. Lineage: Eukaryota; Metazoa; Chordata; Lepidosauria; Squamata; Natricidae. The record is from RefSeq and is a predicted model, not a curated record.
UUCUGUAAACCACUUAGGGCUGUAGAGCACUGUGAAGCGGUACAUACAGUAAGUCUAAGUGCUAUUGCUAUAUAGGCAACUUUAUGGGGUCAUACCAUUAAAAUGUGUUGCUAGGUUACAAACUGUGGUUCAGUACAAUGGGAAACCCCCUUACUCUGCAUUUAAUAAAGCGUAUUGUGGUAUCCUAGCCUUCUCAAACAGAUCUGUCUUCCCACUGUAUGAACUCCCAUAAUCUCAGCUAACAUGGCACCCGCUCUUGGAAGAUUACUUUAAAAAACUAUCACGGAUUAACUAUGGGAUAACUUUUAAUAAUAACCUUUAUGCAGGAGCAUUGGAGUGCGGGUGGCAGGGAGCCAAGAUGCUGGAUGUAAGUUGUGUCUAUGAGAUUAAAUUCGGAGGCAAGAAUGCUGUGUAGACCAAUAUGAAUCCCUGGAAAAAAGCUGGGAUAUAAAUCUAAUAAGUACAUAUCCCUUGAGGAGAUAUCUUUUAUCACAGGAAAGAGGCAAUGACAAACUACUUCCAAAAACCCCUGCCAACCAAACUGCAGGCAUUUGGCCAGACAAUCACCAGGAGUCAAGACUCAAGACAGACUCAAAGGCGCAAAAACAACGAAGGAGAAAAGCAUGAAAUACUAAUAAAUACAUACAUUAUGUGAUUGUGCAGAACUUUCAAAAAAGUCGCUCACCUUAUGAACAUAAGUUAUUCUUUCCACCUGCUAAAAACAGCCUUACUAUUCCAAAAAGCCUUGCCUGGACUGACUCUGCCCUGCCCCAGUUUCCUCCAAAGCCAAACGGAGCAAUCACUGUAAGUUUUUGUUCCAGCUCAUCUUCUCCUGCAGAUUCAGACUCCUGGGCAUGACAAAGAGUGGCUGAGGACCUAGAUAGGAUUAUAUCGAAGUAGUGUCUCUGUUCAAAAAAAUCCCAAAAUACUGCUUUGCCAGCAACUUACUAUAAACUCAUUAAGCAUGCUGCCUGCCAUUAUUAUUUUUCUGUAAUAUUUAACAUUUGUCAAUUUCUAUUUUUUUACAAUCAUGAUGCACUCUUCUAACUCUAUUUUAUUAUCAACUAAUAUGGUAUCAUCUACAUAUCUAAAACUGUAAAUGUCUUGAAAAUUGGCUGCCUUUUCCAGUCGAGCCAUUAUUAUACAUUUGUUUGCAUUGUUACCAUACAGCCCCUUAUUCUGAAUCAUUCUGUUUUUCUAAACCCAUUCCUUACAAUAACUUCUUGUUUCUCAUAAAUGAUUUUCAGAAUGAGAAUUCUGGUUCAUCUCUCCAUCUUAUGUAUAUCCACAUUCUACCAUGAUCAUGGCUACCACAGCAACCCUCAAGCUGAUGCAGACUUUGCCCAAAAUGGAACUAAGAAUCCAUUAAAAUGUUCAUGAAAUUGAUGUCAUGAGUGCUCAAAACAAAUGGCUGCAAGAAGACAUGUGAUCAGGCUCCAAUUUAGCAAUGAAAUGGAACCAUUAAAGCAUUGGUCUCUAUAGCAAUACUGAGAAAAUGCAAGGAGUGAAUGAAAAGUAGUGCCUCUAAAUUUCUAACACAUGGCAAAACUGAUGAUUUAGAAAUUCUGACAUUUUUUUCUGCUUUUUUAAUUUCAGUUGUCAGGAAAUUACCAUGACAAAAAGCUGUAUUGCUAGUGUUUGUGAAAUGAAAGUUUUCAGUGAGUGCGGAUCAGUACACUUUAAGUAACAUACCAUGAUUGAAUUCUUGACUACUGAUGAAUUCCUUCAUCCUUCAUUUCAUUCCAGUUGAACGUGAGGUUGUUUAUGGUAAUAAAUGUGUUCAAACAAUGUAAAAUAUGGUGAAUCAGGAAGAGUUGAUUGUGUAGUCAAGAACAAAGUGGAUGACUUGUAACAGCAACCAAUGACUUUCACAUAAGAAAGACUGAUAAACAAAUCAUGAACAGUUAAUAGAUCGUUCAAAGGCAAAUUGCUCCCAAACUUGGCAUUUCACAGAAACAAGUGGGUUGCAUUAUUGAUGUUGUUUAAUAUUGGAAAGUUUGUGCAAGACGUUCUUUGCUUGCUGAUGGUAGAAAUGAAAGCUUCUAAAGUUUAUAUUUGUCAGCAAUUAUUGUCAUGCUACCAGAAUUAAAGUAACUUCUUCAUUGCAUUGUGACAACCAACAAAACAUGGGCUUAUCAUUAUGUACACAAACCAAGUGUCAGUCUGUGAAAUCAUUACAAAGUUCAGUUGUGUGUGUGUGUGUGUGUGUGUGUGUGUGUGUGUGUGUGGAGCAGGGAUAUCAAACUGAUUUCUUCGACGGCCGGUUCAGCAUUGUAGUUCUCCAUGGGCUGGCCAAGGGGAGGGGGGGAGACGGGCCGGACGACUUCUGCAGCACCCUGCCGUCCGAAACGGAGCGUAGGGUCGUGCAUGCCCCCCCUGUGGCCUGUUUUCAGCGUAGACAGCCUCCUACAGCACCCUGCUGGUCAAAAGGAGGAGGCAGGAGACAGUCCAGGCCAAAAACAAGGUGCGAGGGGCCCACACACCCCGGGCCAGAUUUAAGGGUCAGGGAGAGAAUCAAAACUCAGGAUUAGACAGAAAAAACUCAUAUAGAUGCUUUGGGAUACAAGUAGUGUUGCUCACAUUGAUAUUCUUAAACUAUUAACUCAGCGCAAUGCAUGCAACACUCAAAGACUUCGAAAGAACAUAAAAUUCAUAAACAAGAGGGAAAUUAACAAUACUAGGAUUCAUACAUUAUGGAGUCAUCAAGAAACAUCUGUGAAGUUGGAUCUCUUCUAUCCACCAUACAAUCAAGACUUGGAACCAUGUGAUUCCCAACCUUCACAGCCUGGUGAGUCCAGAGAUUGGUCCUUUCUUAUUUCCUUCUGCCUUCCACACCUAAAACUGUGGCCUUAUAUGUACUUCAGAGCCAGCUUUCCACUUCCACCAUAACAUUAGUUUGUUUUCCUUCCGUUUGGUCCCCCUCCCACAGCAUGGCCUUUAAGGGCUAGUUUAAUGUUCAUCUGGAGCCAGCAAGUCUAGGAAGAGCUUCCUAUCUCUUCCCAAAAUCGGUGCCUCUAUUUACCUACCAUCUCUGGAUAUUCUUUUUCCUGCAUUCUGCGGAUUUUAGCUUAACAACGUUGCACAUUUUUCUGCCUUCCAGGAACUUCCUGAACCACUGGGGUGCUACCCAUAUCACCCACUUUUUCACCUUGGGACCGGCGGCCCUUAACUCCUUGCUGGCCAUUUGCAAGGGAAGGGAAGGAAGAGCCAGAGGGCCAAGAUGAGGCACCUUCUCUUUUGGAAAAGGCUGGGGGGGCCUGAGGGCUUGGCUGUGCCACAGUUGGUGGCUUACCGGUGCCCUUUGUUUGGUGUCAGCUGCUCAUGUCAGACAGAAGCCCGAACUCUCAAAACCAAGAAGCAGAGCUGCAUAAAAUCCUACCGUCUGAAAGCAAUUUAAGGAUGCAUGGGUGUUUAUGUUUACACAUUCCUUCUGUUAUUAGAUCCACACACAUGCAGACAGCCAGAUCCAGUAUGUAAAAAUAUAGAAAACGUAACUGGUGCCAGCAUUGGGAGGAGUUAGUGCGGUAGCUUCUCAGCUGUGACUGAGAUUGUCAUUGCAUAACCCUGCAUCUCUCAGUUUAAGACUACUUUACAAAUGCUCUGCAAAGGAGUUUACCAAGAGAGCAAAGAAAAAAUAACGAUGUUUGCAGCCCUUCUAAGCUUGUGUGGAAGUUUGUUAUGCAUUUUCAUGAACAUGUUUGUGAAGUCAUCAAGAACUGACCUGGACUUGAACACUUAUUUUUUUGUAAAUAAAUGCACCAUUAUGUUACAAAAGUAUGUUUGAUCAAUGCAGUAUUUUUGUAGGGAAACAGAAACCACUCCAUGCCUACAAAACUCUCUUCCAUAGCUGAAAUCUAAGUACAAGUAACCCUUUGCAAUUUCAGGCUUCAGACCAGCUCAUGAAAGAAGAACCAACGAAGCCUCGAUCACUGAACUCAUUAAAAUUGUUUUAAAAACACUUUGGCAUGGAAGGGCUACAAAACUAAUACUGAUACUCUCUCUCUCUCCCCAUUAAUCUAUCAUCUAAAUCUCUAAAAAUUCUCAAAAUAUUAUGCAAAAGAACUUUGUACAGAGAACAUUAAGGAAAGGCAAUAACAAAAAUCAGCAGGUUGUAUUUUUCACACCGUCCAAUAGAAGAUGCCACACCUGUUAUAUAUGAGCUGCAUGUCUGGGUAUCCAUUACAUUAGUCAUAUGUAAGAAUAUAUUAAACUCUCUCUCAAAUUGUUUGUAAAAACCAGAUUGUUGAUAUGAAGUACCAAUCUCUAUUUUUACACAAAUUAUGUUCACAUACGGAAAAGCUUAGCAUAUGCUUCUGAAAAUCACUUCUGUGGCCACACACAGUGAUGGUUUCAGCCAAUUCUCUUUCCACAAACUUGCUACAAGAUGUGGGUUUUCUUUCCAAAAAUGAGAGAUUUCUCAAUAACACAGGCCGCCCAUUUGUUCCUCCAACUGAGAGCCUGGCUUUGGCACAGCAGUUUCCUCACAUCUCACAUAUAUUAGGGAGCAGUUAAAUUUCUGUACAACAUGCUAAUUGCACAUCCCACUGUGUUGCCAGUUCUCUUGAAUAUGUACAGAUGUGUUUGACCUCCACAAAGCAGCAGUGGGAUGUUCGUGACUACUAACUAAAGUAGUGUACUGAAGCUGUUUGGGUUAGUUUAGACAGCAGAAUGCCGUCUCUCCUCCACCUCUCAUUCUACUGUGUUGUUUGGCAAAAAAACAGCAGACACUCAUGCUCAAUCCAGGGAGGGUUUAUUAGUCAGACUUCCCCAGAAGCUCUGCAGUCCUUAAGCCUUAGUUAUCAUUUACUUUAAAAUUACAGCCUAGACCAUAUUCACGAACUUUUGACACCCGAUAUUCAGCAUUCAGAUAACUACAUCUAAAUUUCAAAUUUGGAUAUAUUCUAAGUGCUGAGUUGAUAUUCAAACAAGUAUUUUCAGUACAUGUUUGUUUAUAUCCUGUAUUAUUUUUAAAAUAACUGAAGGUGGCAUGCAUAACCCACACCAUCCUCCUAUUCCCCCCCGCCCCACAACAACCCUAUGAGGUGGGUUGGGUGGAGUGUGAUGCCCAAGGUUACCCAGCUGGCUUUCAUGGCUAAGAUGGGAGUGGAAGUCACAGUGUUUGCCUUUCUAGCCUGGUGCCUUUAGCCACUAGACCAACAAGAGAUUUCUGUAUUUUUAAAAAAGAUUUUCUGUUGACCUUGUGCACUUUUAUUACAUAUUUGUAGAGGAGAGAUGGCUUCAGAUACAAUAAUACUAUACUGUAGUAUCUGUUUCCUAAUGUGGUCCAUCUAAUGUGGAACUAGCAAUGUGUGCAUUGGCAUUAAAGCUAACUUUUGCAGAACUCCUGCCAAAAGAUGCUGAUAAUGGUCUUGGACCUCAACACUGUAUUAUGCUUCCAUUUGCAGUACGGGCGUAUGACUAUAUAAUGCCCAGUCAAUAAUUACCAUAUUUUUUGAAGUAUAAGACGCACCUUUUUGCUUCAAGAAAGAGGCUGAAAAUCUGGGUGAGUUAUACACAUUUUUUGCCUCCCGAAGCCCCGCCCCUUCACCAAGGGGCAUAGAUUUAAGGAGGCUUUUAGACAGCUCCUGGGGGCUGGGGAGGGCAAAAAUGAGUGAAAAACGGCCUAUUUUUUGCCCCUCCCA